This 492-nucleotide ribosomal RNA is filed under the name uncultured bacterium. RNAcentral's name for it is "partial 16S ribosomal RNA". It matches the Rfam family "Bacterial small subunit ribosomal RNA", at positions 29 to 507 of the family's 1533-position model. The record is from RNAcentral.
AGUGAACGCUGGCGGUAGGCCUAACACAUGCAAGUCGAACGGAAGCACAGUAAGAGCUUGCUCUUACGGGUGGCGAGUGGCGGACGGGUGAGGAAUACAUCGGAAUCUACUUUUUCGUGGGGGAUAACGUAGGGAAACUUACGCUAAUACAGCAUACGACCUACGGGUGAAAGCAGGGGAUCUUCGGACUUUGCGCGAUUGAAUGAGCCGAUGUCGGAUUAGCUAGUUGGCGGGGUAAAGGCCCACCAAGGCGACGAUCCGUAGCUGGUCUGAGAGGAUGAUCAGCCACACUGGAACUGAGACACAGUCCAGACUCCUACGGGAGGCAGCAGUGGGGAAUAUUAGGCAAUGGGGGCAAGCCUGAUCCAGCCAUACCGCGUGGGUGAAGAAGGCCUUCGGGUUGUAAAGCCCUUUUGUUGUGAAAGAAAAGCAGCAGGUUAAUACCCCGCUGUUCUGACGGUACCCAAAGAAUAAGCACCGGCUAACUUCGUG